GGGGGCGACUGGAUUCGACUGGGCAAUUGAAGUGUGGGUCGCAUGCCGCGGUUGGUCAGCAUGCCGCGUUAAAAGCCGACUAAAAAAUAAACGCCAAAAAUAAUACUAUGGCUCUUGCCGCCUAAGAAGAGGCGACCGUGCACCAGUUUCCCUGACAGAUGGAGACUGACUGUAGCGUAACGAAGUCUGUCUGGUCCUGAUUCACUGGAGGUACGGUCGGGACGAGAUUUGGUUCCUAUCUGGUCGGAGACGCACCCUGUCGGUUGGGGGCUGCUUCGGCGAGACUUAAAUUAAUCGACUACGCAUGUAGACGCUCACAGGGAGAUGUCGCAGGACGCGGGUUCGAUACCCGCCGCCUCCAUUU
This 364-nucleotide transfer-messenger RNA is filed under the name Thermoguttaceae. Its description in RNAcentral is "RGIG3701 sp017939795 Standard tmRNA". It matches the Rfam family "transfer-messenger RNA". From Rfam's summary of the family: Bacterial tmRNA, also known as 10Sa RNA or SsrA, is named for its dual tRNA and mRNA-like properties. Its role is to liberate the mRNA from a stalled ribosome. To accomplish this part of the tmRNA is used as a reading frame that ends in a translation stop signal. Lineage: Bacteria; Pseudomonadati; Planctomycetota; Planctomycetia; Pirellulales. The record is from RNAcentral. RNAcentral also lists the same sequence under 1 other name.